This 468-nucleotide ribosomal RNA is filed under the name uncultured bacterium. Its description in RNAcentral is "partial 16S ribosomal RNA". It matches the Rfam family "Bacterial small subunit ribosomal RNA", at positions 28 to 507 of the family's 1533-position model. The record is from RNAcentral.
GACGAACGCUGGCGGCGUGCUUAACACAUGCAAGUCGAACGGAAAGGCCCUGCUUUUGUGGGGUGCUCGAGUGGCGAACGGGUGAGUAACACGUGAGUAACCUGCCCUUGACUUUGGGAUAACUUCAGGAAACUGGGGCAAUUACCGGAUAGGAGCUCUUCUGGCAUGGUGGGGGUUGGAAGGUUUCGGCGGUUGGGGAUGGACUCGCGGCUUAUCAGCUUGUUGGUGGGGUAGUGGCUUACCAAGGCUUUGACGGGUAGCCGGCCUGAGAGGGUGACCGGCCACAUUGGGACUGAGAUACGGCCCAGACUCCUACGGGAGGCAGCAGUGGGGAAUAUUGCACAAUGGGCGGAAGCCUGAUGCAGCAACGCCGCGUGCGGGAUGACGGCCUUCGGGUUGUAAACCGCUUUCGCCUGUGACGAAGCGUGAGUGACGGUAAUGGGUAAAGAAGCACCGGCUAACUACGUG